GACGAACGCUGGCGGCGUGCUUAACACAUGCAAGUCGAACGGAAAGGCCCUGCUUUUGUGGGGUGCUCGAGUGGCGAACGGGUGAGUAACACGUGAGUAACCUGCCCUUGACUUUGGGAUAACUUCAGGAAACUGGGGCUAAUACCGGAUAGGAGCUCCUGCUGCAUGGUGGGGGUUGGAAAGUUUCGGCGGUUGGGGAUGGACUCGCGGCUUAUCAGCUUGUUGGUGGGGCAGUGGCUUACCAAGGCUUUGACGGGUAGCCGGCCUGAGAGGGUGACCGGCCACAUUGGGACUGAGAUACGGCCCAGACUCCUACGGGAGGCAGCAGUGGGGAAUAUUGCACAAUGGGCGGAAGCCUGAUGCAGCAACGCCGCGUGCGGGAUGACGGCCUUCGGGUUGUAAACCGCUUUCGCCUGUGACGAAGCGUGAGUGACGGUAAUGGGUAAAGAAGCACCGGCGAACUACGU
Molecule: ribosomal RNA, 467 nt
Filed under: uncultured bacterium
Lineage: Bacteria
Description: partial 16S ribosomal RNA
Rfam family: Bacterial small subunit ribosomal RNA
Source: RNAcentral